GUGGGGAAUCUUAGACAAUGGGGGAAACCCUGAUCUAGCCAUGCCGCGUGAGCGAUGAAGGCCUUAGGGUUGUAAAGCUCUUUCAGCUGGGAAGAUAAUGACGGUACCAGCAGAAGAAGCCCCGGCUAACUCCGUGCCAGCAGCCGCGGUAAUACGGAGGGGGCUAGCGUUGUUCGGAAUUACUGGGCGUAAAGCGCGCGUAGGCGGACCAGAAAGUUGGAGGUGAAAUCCCAGGGCUCAACCUGGGAACUGCCUUCAAAACUCCUGGUCUGGAGUUCGAGAGAGGGGAGUGGAAUUCCGAGUGUAGAGGUGAAAUUCGUAGAUAUUCGGAGGAACACCAGUGGCGAAGGCGGCUCACUGGCUCGAUACUGACGCUGAGGUGCGAAAGCGUGGGGAGCAAACAGGAUUAGAAACCCCACUAGUCC
This 425-nucleotide ribosomal RNA is filed under the name uncultured bacterium. RNAcentral describes it as "partial 16S ribosomal RNA". It matches the Rfam family "Bacterial small subunit ribosomal RNA", at positions 354 to 796 of the family's 1533-position model. The record is from RNAcentral.